GCUCGAGAAUAUGUUCUACAUUUGCGGGCAACUUGCUAUACAGUCAACGAGUAGAUUUAGCGGCAACAACUGUUAAAUAUAGAUGUUCCCACAUUCGGUAAGGAGGAAAGAAGUGAAAUAUUUACAAGAUAAAUUGUAAAGUCAGCAUUCGUUACCAGCUGAAGUUGUAAAACGAUCGCACUCACUUUUGGUAUGGAAUUAGCUUUCCCUCUAGCUUCAGCAAUACAGGAUUCCUUACACUGGAAUGGCUAAACAUUUGGAUGACCUCCGGAUCAAAUGCAAUUACUGCAUAAAUAGUUUUCGCCGAUGGUUUGCUAUAAUGAGUCUAGAGCUGGCUGAACAGAAAACAGAAUUCUUUAGCAUAAACUCCAAGAAAUUUUAAGAAAAUGAUGUGGCUAACCAUAGGAGAAUUUGAGAUUACUUCACAGCCACAAUUAAUGAAUCUUAGUGUAAUAGUGAACUCCAGCCAAUGUUUUUUAAUAGCUAAUGUAAUGAGAUCAGUUAUACUGUAUGCGGCUCCAAUAUGGAUACAGGCACUAGACUUAAAAUCAUAUGCUAGACCAAUUGACGCAUUGCAUACGCUUUCUACAAUACGCGUGCUUUCCGAACCAUAUCAAACGACGCUGCUGAGGUAUUAGAAAGUAUGGAUCCGAUUGACAUCCAGGGAGACGCAUUCGAGCGAAUAUACAACUUAUCAGAGACGUCUAUCGAAGAUAAGAGAGAAUAAAAAGCAUCACAUUGUGGUAACAACGGUAGUAAAUUUCAUGCAAAGGAUGAUGGACCCACAGACUGAUUCAGGAAGUACAUUCGUGAAUAGAUAGACAGCAUGGGGACCUAGAUUUCCACCUAACCCAAAACUCUGUGCUUUAGAAGCUACACAUAAAUAUCGUCAUGUCUUUAGUCCACAUGUUCCGUACUGUACUCAACCAUUUCCCUCGGUUUUCAAAUAUAAGGAAAAAGCAGAAAAUCAACAGAUUAGGCGUCAGUCAGUCUGUACAAUAGAAGAGAUUAAAUAUAUUCUUCUCUCCAAUGAAGUAA
Long non-coding RNA from Bactrocera latifrons, 1038 nucleotides. RefSeq lists it as uncharacterized. NCBI's taxonomy places the organism in Eukaryota, Metazoa, Arthropoda, Insecta, Diptera, Tephritidae. The transcript has 3 exons. The record is from RefSeq and is a predicted model, not a curated record.